This 473-nucleotide ribosomal RNA is filed under the name Phycis blennoides. Its description in RNAcentral is "partial ribosomal RNA". It matches the Rfam family "Bacterial large subunit ribosomal RNA", at positions 673 to 1220 of the family's 2925-position model. Lineage: Eukaryota; Metazoa; Chordata; Actinopteri; Gadiformes; Phycidae. The record is from RNAcentral.
UUUAGCAAGUAAAAUGCAAGCAAAGAGCCCUUUAGUUUGCGACCCCGAAACUGAGCGAGCUACUCCAGGACAGCCUAUUGUAGGGCAAACCCGUCUCUGUGGCAAAAGAGUGGGAAGAUCUUCGAGUAGAGGUGACAAACCUACCGAGCACAGUAAUAGCUGGUUGCCUGGGAAUUGAAUAGAAGUUCAGCCCUUUAAGUUUUCCUAACCAUACAAGCCGUGCUCAUAUUGGUAAAGAUAUCUAAAGGAGUUAGUCAGAAAGGGUACAGCCUUCCCGACAAGAGAAACAACUUUUACAGGUGACACAAGAUCAUAAUAAUAGAGGACUUCAAAUUAAGUGGGCCUGAAAGCAGCCAUCUUAACAGAAAGCGUUAAAGCUCAAAUUAAGUCUAAUCCCCGUAUUCUGAUACAAAAUCUUCCUCCCUGCCCCCUACCAGGCUGUCUUAUGCCCCCAUAAGAGCAAUUAUGCUAAA